This 253-nucleotide ribosomal RNA is filed under the name uncultured bacterium. RNAcentral describes it as "partial 16S ribosomal RNA". It matches the Rfam family "Bacterial small subunit ribosomal RNA", at positions 524 to 776 of the family's 1533-position model. The record is from RNAcentral.
UACGUAGGGAGCAAGCGUUGUUCGGAUUUACUGGGCGUAAAGGGCGCGUAGGCGGCGCGGUAAGUCACUUGUGAAAUCUCUGAGCUUAACUCGGAAACUGCCAUUGAUACUAUUAGUCUUGAAUGUCGUGGAGGUAAGCGGAAUAUGUCAUGUAGCGGUGAAAUGCUUAGAUAUGACAUAGAACACCGAUAGCGUAGGCAGCUUACUACACGAAUAUUGACACUGAGGCACGAAAGCGUGGGGAUCAAACAGG